Molecule: microRNA precursor, 124 nt
Filed under: Gossypium hirsutum (cotton)
Lineage: Eukaryota; Viridiplantae; Streptophyta; Magnoliopsida; Malvales; Malvaceae
Description: MIR7504 microRNA precursor family
Rfam family: MIR7504 microRNA precursor family
Source: Rfam by way of RNAcentral
AGUAUUCUUAUCCUGAAUUUCAGGAUUUUAUCCUGAAUUUCAGGAUUUUAUCCUGAAAAAAAUUAAAUCCAAAUUAAAAUACUGAAAUUCAGGAUAAAAUCCUGAAAUUCAGGAUAAGAAUACU